Molecule: non-coding RNA, 471 nt
Organism: Podarcis lilfordi (Lilford's wall lizard)
Lineage: Eukaryota; Metazoa; Chordata; Lepidosauria; Squamata; Lacertidae
Source: the annotation of a GenBank genome assembly
CUGGUAGGUGACACAUUGUGCUCCUUCUGGGGUAGUUUGUCCACCUUCGGUCCCCACCAUGCACUCAGCUCUCAACUGGCCAGCUAAACCAGGUGAGGGCAGUUGAUAAGUCUCAAACCCUCAGAAAGUUAGGUACUGUGUUUUUUGCACCAUAACACUCACUUUUUUCCUCCUAAAAAGUAAGGGGAAAUGUCUGUGCGUGUUAUGGAGGGAAUGCCUACGGGUGGCAUGCCUACGGAUUUUCCUCCUCUAAAAACUACGUGCGUGUUAUGGUUGAGUGCGUUAUAGAGCGAAAAAUACGGUACUUUCUCUGCAUGCAAGACAGGCUCCGGUGGAUUGAGUGAACAAAACUAAUCGUGGAUCCAACAGUCAAGGAGGUGGUUUCUGCACACGCUGUACAGGGAAGUGAAGGGCAGAUGGGGCAUGUCAACCUGUGAAGGUAGAUCAUCAAGAAGGAAAACUCUGGUCCUG